Esox lucius (northern pike) is the source of this 474-nucleotide long non-coding RNA. Lineage: Eukaryota; Metazoa; Chordata; Actinopteri; Esociformes; Esocidae. The record is from Ensembl.
GAUUUAACAGGGAGGUCGAUUUAACAGGGAGGUCGAUUUAACAGGGAGGUCGAUUUAACAGGGAGGUCGAUUUAACAGGGAGGGUGAUUUAACAGGGAGGGUUGAUUUAACAGAGAGGUCGAUUUAACAGGGAGGUCGAUUUAACAGGGAGGAUGAUUUAACAGGGAGGAUGAUUUAACAGGGAGGUCGAUUUAACAGGGAGGUCGAUUUAACAGGGAGGAUGAUUUAACAGGGAGGUCGAUUUAAUAGGGAGGUCGAUUUAACAGGGAGGUCGAUUUAACAGGGAGGUUGAUUUUACAGGGAGGUCGAUUUAACAGGGAGGUCGAUUUAACAGGGAGGUUGAUUUUACAGGGAGGUCGAUUUUUACGUUUUAUAUAUUCACAAACGUCUCUGUAUGCAAGUCUUUAUGUGCACAAGAAAUGUAAAAACAAACCAAACAUACACCUCAGCACAAAAUAAAGACUAAUGAAACAG